UACGGGGGGAGCAAGCGUUGUUCGGAUUUACUGGGCGUAAAGGGCGCGUAGGCGGCCAGCACAAGUCAGUUGUGAAAUCCCAGGGCUCAACCCUGGAACUGCACUUGAUACUGCGUGGCUAGGGUACUGGAGAGGAGACUGGAAUUUACGGUGUAGCAGUGAAAUGCGUAGAUAUCGUAAGGAAGACCAGUGGCGAAGGCGAGUCUCUGGACAGUUACCGACGCUGAGGCACGAAGGCCAGGGGAGCAAACGGG
RNAcentral lists this ribosomal RNA (254 nucleotides) under uncultured bacterium. RNAcentral describes it as "partial 16S ribosomal RNA". It matches the Rfam family "Bacterial small subunit ribosomal RNA", at positions 524 to 776 of the family's 1533-position model. The record is from RNAcentral.